UGGGGAAUAUUGGGCGAAUGGGCGCAAGCCUGACCCAGCGACGCCGCGUGAGGGAAGAAGGUCUUCGGAUUGUAAACCUCUGUUGACAGGGACGAUAAUGACGGUACCUGUCGAGGAAGCCACGGCUAACUACGUGCCAGCAGCCGCGGUAAUACGUAGGGGGCGAAGCGUUGUCCGGAAUGAUUGGGCGUAAAGGGCGCGUAGGCGGCCCGGUAAGUCUGGAGUGAAAGUCCUGCCUUCAAGGUGGGAAUUGCUUUGGAUACUGUCGGGCUUGAGUGCAGGAGAGGUAAGUGGAAUUCCCAGUGUAGCGGUGAAAUGCGUAGAGAUUGGGAGGAACACCAGUGGCGAAGGCGACUUACUGGACUGUAACUGACGCUGAGGCGCGAAAGUGUGGGGAGCAAACAGGAUUAGAUACCCUGGUAGU
Molecule: ribosomal RNA, 424 nt
Filed under: uncultured bacterium
Lineage: Bacteria
Description: bacterial SSU rRNA
Rfam family: Bacterial small subunit ribosomal RNA
Source: RNAcentral